CCUACGGGAGGCAGCAGUGAGGCAUAUUGGUCAAUGGGCGGAAGCCUGAACCAGCCAAGUCGCGUGAGGGAAUAAGGCCCUACGGGUCGUAAACCUCUUUUGCCGGGGAGCAAGGGCGGGGACGUGUCCCGGCCCGGAGAGUACCCGGAGAAAAAGCAUCGGCAAACUCCGUGCCCGCAGCCGCGGUAAUACGGAGGAUGCGAGGUUUAUCCGGAUUUUUUGGGUUUAAAGGGUGCGUAGGCGGGCUUUUAAGUCAGCGGGAAAAAGUCGGGGCUCAACCCCGUCCGGCCGUUGAAACUGGGGGCCUUGAGUGGGCGAGAAGAAGGCGGAAUGCGUGGUGUAGCGGUGAAAUGCAUAGAUAUCACGCAGAACCCCGAUUGCGAAGGCAGCCUUCCGGUGCCCUACUGACGCUGAGGCACGAAAGUGCGGGGAUCGAACAGGAUUAGAUACCCCAGUAGUC
Molecule: ribosomal RNA, 460 nt
Filed under: uncultured bacterium
Lineage: Bacteria
Description: partial 16S ribosomal RNA
Rfam family: Bacterial small subunit ribosomal RNA
Source: RNAcentral